GAAUAUAGGUUGCAUUUCUGUAAAUAUUGACAAUGCAAUUUCUCAUAGGAACUCCUUUUACGGCUAAAACUGUACCACUUUUACUAUGAAGUUUUGAAAAAAAUCUUAUCCUAGAAUGAAAGUUCAUAUGCACCACAAUUUUUUUAAAGGUCAAAAUAUAGGGCUGUGCGGCAUAUUUUCAACGUUUAUAUGCCUUGAACUUCUCAGA
Molecule: long non-coding RNA, 208 nt
Filed under: Mytilus galloprovincialis (Mediterranean mussel)
Lineage: Eukaryota; Metazoa; Mollusca; Bivalvia; Mytilida; Mytilidae
Source: RNAcentral